This 312-nucleotide ribosomal RNA is filed under the name uncultured bacterium. RNAcentral describes it as "bacterial SSU rRNA". It matches the Rfam family "Bacterial small subunit ribosomal RNA", at positions 66 to 382 of the family's 1533-position model. The record is from RNAcentral.
ACGAUGCUAGCUUGCUAGCAGGCGUCGAGUGGCGGACGGGUGAGUAAUGCAUAGGAAUCUACCUAGUAGUGGGGGACAACCUGGUGAAAACCAGGCUAAUACCGCAUAAUCCCUACGGGGCAAAGCAGGGGACCUUCGGGCCUUGCGCUAAUAGAUGAGCCUAUGUCGGAUUAGCUUGUUGGUGAGGUAAUGGCUCACCAAGGCAACGAUCCGUAGCUGGUCUGAGAGGAUGAUCAGCCACACUGGGACUGAGACACGGCCCAGACUCCUACGGGAGGCAGCAGUGGGGAAUAUUGCACAAUGGGCGCAAGC